RNAcentral lists this ribosomal RNA (492 nucleotides) under uncultured bacterium. RNAcentral describes it as "partial 16S ribosomal RNA". It matches the Rfam family "Bacterial small subunit ribosomal RNA", at positions 29 to 507 of the family's 1533-position model. The record is from RNAcentral.
AGUGAACGCUGGCGGUAGGCCUAACACAUGCAAGUCGAACGGCAGCACAGUAAGAGCUUGCUCUUACGGGUGGCGAGUGGCGGACGGGUGAGGAAUACAUCGGAAUCUACUUUUUCGUGGGGGAUAACGUAGGGAAACUUACGCUAAUACCGCAUACGACCUACGGGUUAAAGCAGGGGAUCUUCGGACCUUGCGCGAUUGAAUGAGCCGAUGUCGGAUUAGCUAGUUGGCGGGGUAAAGGCCCACCAAGGCGACGAUCCGUAGCUGGUCUGAGAGGAUGAUCAGCCACACUGGAACUGAGACACGGUCCAGACUCCUACGGGAGGCAGCAGUGGGGAAUAUUGGACAAUGGGCGCAAGCCUGAUCCAGCUAUACCGCGUGGGUGAAGAAGGCCUUCGGGUUGUAAAGCCCUUUUGUUGGGAAAGAAAAGCAGCAGGUUAAUACCCCGCUGUUCUGACGGUACCCAAAGAAUAAGCACCGGCUAACUUCGUG